This 254-nucleotide long non-coding RNA is filed under the name Lathyrus oleraceus (garden pea). RNAcentral describes it as "Pisum sativum (pea) long non-coding RNA (PSAT_LNC040463)". The record is from RNAcentral. Lineage: Eukaryota; Viridiplantae; Streptophyta; Magnoliopsida; Fabales; Fabaceae.
UGACAGCUUGUUCGAGGUCCAUUUUUCUGUUUGCAUGAAAACCGUGAGAACAUUGAUCCCUUUAGAACACCUGUUAUGCAAUGUUAUGCUAUGCAAUGUAUGAAAUGUUUUCAAGGACUUUUGGAAUUUAACUUUGCAUAAACUACCAAAAAAGGAAACUUUUUUUUUUUUUUUUUUUUUACAAAAUAGAGCAAAGUUAAAUCCCUAAGUCCUCGAAAUGGUUAGUACAAUGUCAUGAUGUUAUGAUGUUAUGA